RNAcentral lists this transfer RNA (72 nucleotides) under Alkalispirillum mobile. RNAcentral's name for it is "tRNA-Val". It matches the Rfam family "tRNA". Rfam says of the family: Transfer RNA (tRNA) molecules are approximately 80 nucleotides in length. Their secondary structure includes four short double-helical elements and three loops (D, anti-codon, and T loops). Lineage: Bacteria; Pseudomonadati; Pseudomonadota; Gammaproteobacteria; Chromatiales; Ectothiorhodospiraceae. The record is from RNAcentral. RNAcentral also lists the same sequence under 1 other name.
GGGCGGUUAGCUCAGCGGGAGAGCACUGCCUUCACACGGCAGGGGUCGCUGGUUCAAUCCCAGCACCGCCCA